GGGGGAAUUCCCGAGCGGCCAAAGGGGCCAGACUGUAAAUCUGGUGGCUUAUGCCUUCGCAGGUUCGAAUCCUGCUUCCCCCA
RNAcentral lists this transfer RNA (83 nucleotides) under Planctomycetota bacterium. Its description in RNAcentral is "Planctomycetes bacterium (hydrothermal vent metagenome) tRNA-Tyr". It matches the Rfam family "tRNA". Rfam says of the family: Transfer RNA (tRNA) molecules are approximately 80 nucleotides in length. Their secondary structure includes four short double-helical elements and three loops (D, anti-codon, and T loops). Further hydrogen bonds mediate the characteristic L-shaped molecular structure. tRNAs have two regions of fundamental functional importance: the anti-codon, which is responsible for specific mRNA codon recognition, and the 3' end, to which the tRNAs corresponding amino acid is attached (by aminoacyl-tRNA synthetases). tRNAs cope with the degeneracy of the genetic code in two manners: having more than one tRNA (with a specific anti-codon) for a particular amino acid; and 'wobble' base-pairing, i.e. permitting non-standard base-pairing at the 3rd anti-codon position. The record is from RNAcentral. Lineage: Bacteria; Pseudomonadati; Planctomycetota.